RNAcentral lists this long non-coding RNA (227 nucleotides) under Elaeis guineensis (African oil palm). RNAcentral's name for it is "long non-coding RNA (EGUI_LNC022562)". The record is from RNAcentral. Lineage: Eukaryota; Viridiplantae; Streptophyta; Magnoliopsida; Arecales; Arecaceae.
UCCACUUUCAUUCAUUCCAAAAAAUCUAAGACUAAAUCGUUUUAACAAAAAAAAAAAAACCCACUGAUGCAGAAAUCAUAUAUGGUAUCCACAUGGCUGUACACUUGAACAACAAUAAACUCAGAUGUUCCAAAAAGCCCAAAAGAUAUCUCUAAGGAGGAUUUAAAUGCAAUCCUACAAACCUAAAGCCCAAGGUUCUCAACGCAUGCACUAGAUGCCAUAAAUGG